Molecule: ribosomal RNA, 440 nt
Filed under: uncultured bacterium
Lineage: Bacteria
Description: partial 16S ribosomal RNA
Rfam family: Bacterial small subunit ribosomal RNA
Source: RNAcentral
CCUACGGGUGGCAGCAGUAGGGACUUUUGCGCAAUGGGCGAAAGCCUGACGCAGCAACACCGCGUGAAUGUUAAGCCUUUCGGGGUGUAAAGUUCUGUCAAUAGGGACGAAUUUUGACUGUAACUAUAAAGGAAGCACAGGCUAACUCCGUGCCAGCAGCCGCGGUAAUACGGGGGGUGCAAGCGUUAUCCGGAAUCAUUGGGCGUACAGCGUUCGUAGGCGGCAAGGUAAGUCAUAUGUUAAAGCCCGGGGCUCAACUCCGGUUCGGCAUUGGAUACUAUCUAGCUAGAGUGUGGUAGAGGUAAAGGGAAUUCCUGGUGUAGCGGUGAAAUGCGUAGAUAUCAGGAGGAACACCGGUGGCGAAAGCGCUGUACUGGACCAUUAUUGACGUUGAGGCUCGAAAGCGUGGGGAGCAAACAGGAUUAGAUACCCGAGUAGUC